This 180-nucleotide unclassified non-coding RNA is filed under the name uncultured fungus. RNAcentral describes it as "sequence contains ITS1, 5.8S rRNA gene". Lineage: Eukaryota; Fungi. The record is from RNAcentral.
ACGAGUUUGAAAGGGAGUUGUCGCUGGCCUUUUCGGAGGCAUGUGCACGCUCCUGCUCGCUCCAUAUACACCUGUGCACUCCUCGUAGUGACGAUAAGACUUCAUGGUUGAGUCGUUGCUAUGUUUUUAUACACACCGUAUGUCUAUGAAUGUCUUCAUUGCUUAUAACGCAAUUAAAUA